ACUGCCUAGAUAAAGAUUUUUUAUUUUUAUUCCCAGCUUCUUGCGGCUACCGGAGGAGAUGGGAAGCCAUUCUUUGGAUUGAGCGUGCUGGAUGAAGCAUUGACCAACUCGACGUCGCUGUUCGCGGCGCUGUCGGCGGCGCACGCGGCACACUCGCUGCAGACGCUGGCCGGCUUCAUGGACGUGCUCGCGCUCGCACGCAACGUCACCGUCACAGCACUGACCGGGUGAGGUGCGGCGCGUCCACGGACACAUGACUCACUCCACAAAGACUAACUACCUAAUUACCACAACGAAAUUGGACCACCAAGCCACAAGGAUAGGCGAGCGACAAGGAUAUACCAAAAAGCCCAAGUGCCAUGUACUGUAAUAGUAGGUUAUGUAGUAGAUAGCUAUUUAAAUGUAGCUAAAUAAUUAGAUUAGAUAGUUAAGUAGUGUAAAAUGGUUAAAAUAAUAACGUUCUACCUGUAGAUAAGGGUAGUUUCCGACUUAUUCAAUAAAAACAUU
Long non-coding RNA from Plutella xylostella (diamondback moth), 507 nucleotides. RefSeq lists it as uncharacterized. NCBI's taxonomy places the organism in Eukaryota, Metazoa, Arthropoda, Insecta, Lepidoptera, Plutellidae. The record is from RefSeq and is a predicted model, not a curated record.